This is a non-coding RNA of Taeniopygia guttata (zebra finch), 10814 nucleotides long. The record is from RefSeq and is a predicted model, not a curated record. NCBI's taxonomy places the organism in Eukaryota, Metazoa, Chordata, Aves, Passeriformes, Estrildidae.
UGCGGGCGCUCGGCAUGCGGAGCGUGCAAGUGGAAACGCUUUACUCGUUGUUUUCUCAAUUAAAUCAGAAAAGUUUUGUUAGUGGUAGCUAGUUAAGGAGAAGUGGGAACUGGUAUCUUCUUUCUUUUGAAAUGUUCCUGCUGUAAACCUCAGCUUUCGGGGUUGGGCGCGGGGCAUUCCCGGGGGUGAGCGCCCGGCCUGGCGCCUGCGAGCCUUUGGGCACCGGCCGUGAGCCUCUUUGGAGCUACAUCCCAAAUGCUGUCACGGUCAUCAAUCGCUGCUUGCCAGCAGAGCAACUGAAGUCUGUGGACAGACUCUUUUCUCUUCCUUGCCAGAGGCCAAGCGCCCAAAUGCGGUCUCUCAACACAACAAACUUCAUUACAAGGCUUUCUGCUUUAUGUCUGAGGAAAAACAAGAUGCAAUGCAGGCACCAAAGUAAUAGACGACCAACGGUUCCACUUGGAUCACGGAUUUUAACUGAUCCUUCUAAGGUCUUUGAGCAUAACAUGUGGGACCACAUGCAAUGGUCACAAGAAGAAGAGGAGAAUGCCAAGAAAAAAGCAGCAGAGAACUCUCUUGUGAAAGUUCAAUCGGACGACCAAGAUAAAUAUGAGAGAGAAGCCAGUAAAUAUUGGAAUGAAUUUUACAAGACACAUAAAAAUAACUUUUUCAAGGAUCGCAAUUGGCUGUUUCUGGAGUUUCCAGAAAUUCUUCCAGAAAAAAGGAGACAAGAGUUCAAAACAGAAAAGAUAUCUUUGGAACACACAAAAAUAAAUAAUGACAACAGCUUUUCACUCAAAAAUGGAAUGUUUGAAGAAGGAGAAAAAUACUGGGAGAAAAAUUAUGGAUCUGGUUCUAUUGCUGUACAAGGAUAUGUAUAUAAUAAAAAUGAAGUAAAAGCUCUUACUAACAAUCCUCAAGGUAAAAACUGCGGAGAAGAACUUGGCAAGGUAGAAUCCUUCCCUGGCUGUGAUGCCACUUACCGAAUAUUAGAGGUUGGUUGUGGAGCUGGAAACAGUGUCUUUCCUAUUCUGAAAGUUCUAUGCAAUACACCUGGAACCUUUCUGUACUGUUGUGAUUUUGCUUCAGGAGCAGUGGAGCUGGUAAAGUCACAUUCGUCCUAUAAUUCAGCCUGGUGUUCUGCCUUUGUUCAUGAUGUGUGUGAUGAUGCUUUACCCUAUCCUUUUCCAGAUGAGAUCCUGGAUGUCAUUCUCCUUGUCUUUGUGCUCUCUACUAUUCAUCCUGACAGGAUGCAAGGGGUUGUAAAUAGGUUGGCUAAGCUACUGAAGCCUGGAGGAAUGCUGUUAUUUCGAGACUACGGGAGAUACGACACAGCUCAACUUCGUUUUAAAGAAGUAUAUGUAUACUUCUCUCCAUGUUUGGAACAAGGAUUGGACAUGAGGGUUUUUUUACAUCAGUUAUGUGCCAGUUCCCUUUCUCUUAAGAAUCAUCCAGAAUUUGGAUAAGGGAACAAUGUUUUUGCCUUUUUUUCAAAUAGAAUCCUAUAGUGACAGAAGCUACAUUCCUAUCCUCCUGGGAAGCAAAUACCAGAGAAUAACAGAAGUGUCUGUAUCCUGAUUGUGUGCAAUCAAGGCACUCCAAGAAUGAGACUUAAGAGACAUACCAAAGCUCAGAAAUAAAACAUAGGUCAUCUAGACCAAUGGAUCUUUCUGCAGUAAGAGCAAAGCUUGACCAUGACGUUGUUUUCUUUGGAAAGAGUUCAGCUCUGUUUCAGAAACUGCAGAUAAGGAAUGUAAGUAUCCAUAUUUGUGUGUGUGUGUGUAAACCAAAAUAAAAAUUUCAAAACAAAGCAAGUUGACUUGCUUCUUCCCAGCUCCAUGUAGAAUCAUAGAACUACAUAGAUAGCAGUUGUGUUGCUUUGUGCAUGCCUAAGGUGUGGUCAGGAAUCAAUAUAGAAAUACAUUUAAAAUAUAAUGGAAAAAAGAAAAUAACAUGGAUAAAUGUCUUGUUGCUAUUUUGUUUGCCUCUAAAUGUUUUUGUAAAUAAAUGAGUAUGUGCAAUUUGCCAUGGAAUAUCCUUUAUACUAAAAACUCAAUUUGGAACAAGUUUUACAUCGUACUCUAUAACUUCUUUGGAUUUUUAAAAACUUUUUAAUAACUUGGCAUAUGAAUUUAUGAGUGUACUGUCGUACUGUCAUCAAAAAGAAGAUCAAAAUAGUGACUAGAAUAAGUGAAAAGGAGAUAGAACUGGCACAAAAUCUGUACGGAACAAAGAAGUUACCUUUAUUAUUCAAAGUACAACUCCCGUUGGGAACUUGUCUAGGUAUCAUAUAAAUCAUGAUGGAAUAGGUCCUCUAAUGAAGGACCAUUAUGAUGGGAAGCAGGUAGUCUCCAUUUGAAAUAAAAAGCUGGGCACAAUUAUACCGGUUGUUAACGUGCAAGGAGCUAAAAGAACCCUGUGUGUUAUUAGGCACUUGCCCUUACUACCUGAAGUGGAAUUGUCUGAUUGGAAAGUUGGGUGGGACUUCCUGUGGGAAAAAAAUGCAAAUUGUGUACAAAGUUAUCUGUAUGAAUCUUAUGACUGAUUUUAGUGGUUUAAGGUUAAGUUAUCUUGGCAAUGAAAGAAUUAUUUUGGCUGUUCCUGAGGACUGUAAACUUUAUUAAGCACAUGCAUGACAAGUAAUCUGAUAGCAAACAAUGUCUUUUUUGCCUCCCUAGUCCCUUAAACGUUGGCUGAAUACUUUCAUCUGAGAUAGGCAUUGCUUUCACUGUUGUUUUUAUGACAGAUGAAUAUGAAUGGUGAUUCUACCUUUGGAAGGCAGAAGAUGAGAUGCAUUGUCUUUUAGUGGUCAAGUCUGAUAGGUAUCCUCUAUAUUGAGUCUUAUAAAAGAUUUUUCAAAGUGAAAAUAAGUUUUCCCGAGAGAGAAAGAUAAGAAAUAAAGGAUUAGUAACUCCUACUGUGAAAUUCUAGCCCUAUUUCUAAUGCUAGGUUAAUAGUUGGUAUUUCUGAUCCUAAAGGCCUAUGAUUCUAAUGAAAGAUUUGCUCCUGACUUCAGGAUGAUCACAGUUUUACUCCUAUGGAGAAGUUGGGCUUUCCUAGGAAAGGUAAUGUAUAAAAUACAACCUCUGCUAGCACAUAAUGAAUGCAACAUGAUGGGAAGAGGCUAACAUGGAAUGACAUCCAUAACCAAUAAUAGAUGCUGUGAGCAUCCUGUCAAUUGGUGUACUAAUGUUAGUCACCAGCUUGAUUAAUGACAUGGAAACACUCACUCUUUCUCUGAAUAGUGUCUGAGUGCCUCCUGCCAGAGCAGUGGAGAUCACCUUCUGCUGAGCUUAUGUAUAUAUGCAGGAAUAGAGCCAUUAUGGGUGCUUCAGUGCAUUGUGUAAUAGCCUCUUCCAAAUGAAGGGGACUCAGAGACAUCAUUCAGUUUGUACCUGCCUGUGUUUGUUUGUACGUGUAAAAUCGGCUGACUCUCAGACCAAGGGCUGCCUUGUAGCUUUAAGCUCAGCAGUGGCUGUAGUCUGUGUUAGGGACUUUUUCUGUCACUAUAAAAGAGAAAACAAGACUCAUACUAAAGAUGGCCCCAGAAUUUCUUUUGCAAUGAUCCUCCCUGAGAAACUUGAAGUUUCUUGAUCACAAAUGGGAAAACACUUGAAGAAAUGUGUGUAUGUGGUAGAGAACUUGAGAAAACAAGAAAGGGAUUUCAUUGAAUAAUUUCCAAAAAGUAAAAAAAGAAUUAUUUAUAUCAAACCAGAGGGAAACAGAACAGUGGUGUGAGAAUCCUUUUACUGUCUGAAAGAACUGGAAAUUUUACUCAAGACUGGGCAAAGUUCUGUAUUGUGGUAUUAGAUGCUAUCCUGAGAUACUCAGCUUGGCACAGUGAGACCACUUCAUUGCCUCAUUUCAUGCUAGUGUGUUUCAGGCUGUGUGCUAAAUAUGUCCAGAACCUGGCUUUUUAUUCUAAGUGCAAUAGAUGACAUUAUUCUAUUUUGACAGGGAAUAUCUUUAGCAGUAUGCCCUGAAAUACCUUAGGGAUUCAAGCUGUCCCGUAAUCAAUGCUGCAGACGAUGCAGUUUUGAUUAUUUUUCUCUAAUAUAUGAACUGUAACACUAGAUUCAUCCUGGCAUACAUCUGUCAGACCAGACUGAAAGCAUUCAGUUAAAGCCACUUCAUUACCAGCACAGGGCCAACAAAUAGGGGACAAUCCAAAAAAGGGGGAUUGAAAUAUAGCAUAGAUGAGAAAUAUAUCUCAAAAUAAGGUCAUAAUGGAGGAUAUAAAUUGCACAGCAAUCCAGACAGCAACAGGACAUCCUCAAAAUUACUACAGCAUCUGCAUACUGAUACCGCCUUUAACAGAUAUGCAAAAAAUAUGGAUUGUUUGUGAAAUAAACAGCUAUAGGUCAAGAUGUAACAUAACAGAAAAAACAACUUUGCAAAUAUAAAUAUUUAUUAUUAGUGGAUAUGAAUUGCUUCCUACUAAAAUGGGCAAGAAUUAUGAACCCAACCCUCUUUAAAACUAAUUGGGGAAUUAGAAGGCUAAUGAGAGAAUGUAGUAAAAAAACCUCUUUUGCCUUCUAGAAAAAACAGCAAUGCUAGACCAUAAUGAAGAAUACUCUAGUGUAUUGAGAGCUACUGGGCUGCAAAUCCACCACAAAAAAUCUUCAGUGUUUGAUACUGAACCAAGAAAAGAAAAACACAAAAUGAAAAUUCUGCAUUGCCUGAAGGACAUGCAGAAUUCUUUCCCAUCUCUAUUUGUUGUGAUUGUUAAUACUCGUGUGAAACACUGCUGGACUGCCAUAGAGCAAAUUAUCAGCAAGAGAUGAAUGUGUCUCGUUUGAUGUUUGAGCUUAUUUGAUAAGAUGCAGGUAAGAGUUAAUGUCAUCUCUACAUAUUGUGCCAUGUUUAACAUCUGCUAUUCCUUUCUGGGUUUGCUUGCUGUUUCAGUCCUUAACUUAUGACCUUUUCUUUUUUUUUAAUUUAGCCAUUGAUUACACCCCAGGAUGUGUGAUUCAUUUGAACUGCAAAAUCCCUAUUUCUUGUGGUACUAAUAAGCAUUGUGCCUAGUGAAAGCUGUAGCAGAAGAGAAAGGGAGGAGGCCUAACAGGCUUGACACUGUCUUUUGUCUGCGCUGCAGCAAGGGGAGAAGGAAAGAUGUAUAGGAAUUGUCUUAUCAUCGUGCACAUAUAUACAUGUACAUAAGUAUUUUUAUUUGUUUAUCUAAUCUCUUGGAUGCUUUUUCAAUGCCUGUCUUAACCCUUUGUUGUUGAAGUGAGCAAGGCAAAACUAUAUGACAGGCAUUUAAUUUUUUUCUUUCUCGAGAACAACUAGUGUCCCUUGUGCUGAGAAGAAAAUGGGACUAUGUGGAAAGCUAAAUUUCAAUUAAUACGUCAAAGGGCAGUUUGUGAUGUUUUGCCUAUAACUAGGGUUUAACUGAGUUGCAGAACUCUGGGAAUUUUGUGUUUUCCUGUAGGCUCACUUACAGCAUUCUUACCUCUCCUACUUUUCUGCUCUUCCUCUGCUUCUCUGAAAGGGACAGAUGAAAGCAGUAUAAUCUUGUUGAAUAUGGUUCUUGCUGAUGAAUUAGAUGAACAGCUGCGGGGAACAGUCUAGGAAUACAAUUUGGUGAAAAAAAGAGAUGAGAUACAAAAAAAUUCCCUUAUGAUGCCAUUCAUUCUACAUGCAGUAUUAUACCACAUUGAUGGAAAAAUGGGAAGGCCUAAAACUCAAUUUCACUUCGAGCUGGUUUAAAAAGAAGCAAUUCUACAUACAUUGCAGCCACAAAAACAUAUAUUUAUAAGACUUUUACUUUGUAGGUAGCAACUGCACAGCUGUAUACAUUUGAUUUUUUGCAUGCAUAAGAACUUACUUUUACAGGCAAACUAUUGUACUUUCUUCUCAGUAUUACCCAAACAGCUAUGCUAAUUCUUACAUUAUGUAGUUCAUCUCUUUUCUUUGUGCUUUAACCAGUUUGGAAAGGGGGAGAAAAUCCUACACUUUAGCAUGCAGGACAAUCAAAAAUCCGAUCCAGAAAAUGGAUGUCAUUGGUGUGUCAGUGUUCCUGCAAUAUCCUCCAGCUCACAUUUUUACAUUGUAAAAACCCAGCAUGCAAUUGUGUGUUAAGAUUGGAAAUUAAAGCUAAUCUCCCCAGUUGCCUUAUGAAUGUUAUACACCAAAUGAAGCAAUAGCAUUUUGCUUUCUUGUCUUGCUAGUUUAGUGAAUUCUUUCACAGUUCUUUUUCACCUAGCAGAGUCUGGGAAAUACACAGAGAAUUAAAUGCACCUGUCUGCAGAAAUGGGAAAGAAUUCCAUUAAUCUUGGAUCAAUUACCAUUUAGUGUAGUUCUAAUAAUUCACAUAUUUUGGAAAGGUUGAUGGGGAUUUGGUAAUAUUAGAACCUGCUAAAGCCUUUGACCACACAUCCCAUAUUUUGAACCAGGUAUCUCUGGUUUACUGACUUGUUUCCUUUUAUCCCACUGCAGGCCAGUAGUAGGAGUUGGAUUCUUUUCUUGAUUGGAAGUUGUUUGCAGGCUUCUUGAAGGUUUGGAACAAAAAUCAUUAUAGCAGAGGUGGAUCACUGGAUCUGAUUAAUGGUGAUGAUAUUAAAGGUAUAAUAAAUGCAAUUUAUGACAAUUAUAUAAAUGAUAAAAAUAGAUCUGUGUUUACACAGUGUUUGUGUCUAGUUCUUAAAUGUAGGCCUAAUGUGAUAACAUUGUUUUCCUUCUAGCUUCUCUUCAUCUUGAUAAGCUGGUAGGGAAGGUAUAUUUUCUAGUAUAUUAUUUAUGCAUGUUUUUGUUACCUUGCAACUCAGUUGUCAGCAAGUGCCAUAUUAAAAAAAUUGUGAAGCAUGUAGUGCACUAUAUGGCUUAAGAAUACAGCUCUAAUUCAGUGAGCCUCAGAAUUGAUUUGAGUUCAAAAUAACUUUUUCCUGUAAAAGUGUUACUGCACUAAACCAAUUUUAGAAAACUUUAACUAAACUCUAAAAUAAAUGUUAGUACAAUUGCAAAAUUCCUAUUUGCUUAUAAAUAGAAAUGCUUUGUGAGAAACAGGUGCAGAAGAUGCUCCAAUCUGAGAUGGUAUUCUGAGUGUGUCAAAACUGCAUUCUGAAUCUUCUGACCUACAGAACACAGACUGGAAGAUUCUAGUCAUUAUCCCAACCCAGAGUGGCCAGGAGCAUGUUGGUCUGAUCCAGGGAGGGUCCAUACAUGUGCUCAGCUGUGUUAGGAGAUGGAAGGACAAACUUCCAGCACUCACCAGGACAGAAGACAUUUUUUCUCUGUUAUGUUUUUGUAGCAUAUUGUAUUACAUCUAACCUAGAAAUGUCAGAAAUACAUAAUUUUGAUGAUGAAAUGAUUUCAGCAUUUUAUACACGAGAUACUCUACCAGUAUGUCCAUGUAGUUCAAGAAUAUUUUUCUACUAUGCUAGUUAAAUCAGAUUGGCUGCUGGUGUUGGCAUAGUUAUAGAAUAUGUGUAGGUCUUUCUAUAUAUGGGGUAGGUGUGCAUGUGUGUACAUAUUUUUAUGUAUAAAAUUCAUAAAUACUGGCAAAUAUACAGUGAGGCAUACUGUAAAACCUUAUGCUUUAAGAAAAUACUGCUAUGGGUCUAUUAUCUAGUGCUAGGCUGAAAAGGAACUAACAAAGAAUUUGAAACCUCCAUUUCACUGGCCUUACAAAUAAUUGAGGGGAUAAAUCAAAGGAUUCUAAGUCUUGGUUGCUCUACAGUCUUGUGCCAAGUCCAAGGAGAUGGAAGAAGCUACAUGUAAAAUAGAUGCCAAAAACAUCAGAGGUAAAGAUCCUAAUGAUUUCUGACUCCUGCAUUUCCCUGAUUUGUAGCUGACAGAGACUGAUUUAAGUUUGGAAGCCUAUGGUUCAGCAUAUAGUUUACUACUUUUCAGGGAUAUUGUAAUUUCUUGUAACACUUCACUUUCUUUCCUAAAAGAACCAGCCUGCUUAAUCAAUUUCCUCUUCUACCUCUACUUCUUCCAAUAAUCUCUUGAAUUGGAGGCCUUCCUUCUAAUUACUGACAUAAUUUAAAAAUGGUCUUAUUUGGAACCUCUCUGUAAACAUCCACUAUUUAUAUAAUCAGUUACCUGGCGUGGUCAGUCGCUACGCCUUGGUGUUGCAGUAUCUGCUGUUUGCAUGAAACCUAAGCCAGCUAAUAGCACUUUGGUGGGAAAAACAGAAGUAAAUAUAUGCAGUUAUUAACAAUAUGCAAUAUUUGAUGUUAUUAGAUACACAUCUUUCAUGAGGACACCAAAAUGUAUUUAGUGCCUAUGAACAAUGAAGGUGAAGAUCUCAGAACAGGGAAGGAACUGCCAUAUCUCUGUAACUUGUCCCACAGUCAUAGCAUAGUAUUCCUUAAGAACAUGUGGGAUAAACUCUGGAUUUUGUGUAAUGUUUGAAAUUAUGUCUCUUUGUUCUCUAAAGGAUGUAUGUGGAAAUUUUGUAAUUGACAUUUGACCUGAGCACACAGUAAUCUUUAUAGAUGCAAGGUAGAGGUCUCCAAAAAUUGUCACUAUUCAGACCAUUAAUUUUUUUCUUUAAACAUCUUCCUUUGCUAUUUGCCAGUUAACUUCUCUUACUUUCUAGAGAUUGUGAAAUUACUGUGAUUAAAGUUUCUUGCAUUGGUAAUUCGUGACAAAAUUGAAAGCUCUUACAAUUUUAAUGCUUUUCAGGAUUUUGUUGCUGACCUUUUUUUUAUCUUUGGAAUAAGAAAAAUUCCUUGUGCUUUUCUGUUUUUCAACUGUCCUCAAUUAAACACUUACUACUGCCAUAAACAUUGCUAACUUUCAUUUGACACAUUCUUAUGAGAAAAACAGCACACACGCUUUUCACUCCUUUCUGUUCUGAUCUGAGUUUUGAGGUCUUCUUCCUUAGGAAUUAGCAAAACUAAAUGAGUUUUCUGGGACUUCACCUGGAGUCAAGUUUUCCCUUAUAAGGUGUGUGGCACCUUAUUCAUUGUUAUCCAGAGCAAUCCCACUGAAAGUUGAUUCCCUCUAUCUACUACCUCAAGUUAUGCCUGAUGUUAAUGGUCUGCAGUGUUCACAUAAACCUUGAUAGCAGACUAUUCUGUUCCUAAAAACUAGAAGGCAAAGAGAAAUAUUUAAUAUUUAUUGUAUUUAAAAAAAAUAAUUAGUAAUACUUAGUACUAUUUGAGUUGGAUUUAGUAUUUAAUAUUUUGGGCAGGUUAUGCUGACUGACUGUUCACCACUGUGAGAAAAAGGCCAUUUCUCUGGCCACUGGAUUAUAAAGUUUUAUGCAGAAUAAACACAGGGCAUUCAAGGAAAAGCAUUAUGUACAUUUACAAUGCUAUUUGUUAAGGGAAGUCUUUUGAAAUUUGAAAUUUCUGAAAGGUACUAAGGAAGGUUUCCCUCCUGCCAUGAUACUAUUAAAUUCAUAACACUGAAGCAAUGGGGCUUUACAAAUAAAGGGGUAUUUUAAAAAACGUGUCAGCUCUAACUCAGUAAGAAAGUAGGUUUUCUGUAAACUAAAGAGAGGAAUAUACAUAUACCCAGCUCCAUGUAUUCUUGAAGUUAUGUAUGUUGUUUCAUCUGGAGAUGAUCUAUAUAAUUCACACUCUGCUUUCAAUCUCUACAUCAACAAUUCAUGAAACCAAGAGAUACAGCUCUACUAUGUUACAAAUGCAGACUCAAGCCAUACUUUGCAGCAGGUACUGUGCUCUGCUGGGAAGUCCUGUAGUGCAUGCCCACUUACUCCUGGCCUCUCGAUGAGGUGUUGUCUAACACAUUAUGAGAUGGAAAAGAUCUGAUUAUUUUUGAUAGCAUUAAUAUUUGAAAAUAUAAAAGACACUUCAGCAUUUUUAUAAUAUUUAAUCUGCAUGUCUGAUAGAGGAAAUAAUGAAUGGGAUCUUCUGCAUGAUGUCCUGUUACCCUAAUCAAGGUAAAUAAUGCUUUAUUUAAACAAGAAGUCUUAACUGUGUCAGUGGAAUGAUUUAUAGGCAACAGUUUGUAAGCAAAACUGGAAGAAAGAAUGCUUGCUUAUGCAUGGUUUUGUAAGGAUAGCAGGGGUUUGUAUGAAGUGGAUGCAAAGGGCUAUAAACAAAGAGACAAUUUCUUAAUUUCUUUCACUUACUGCUUUUUACUUUGCAGAUUUUGAAAGCAGCAUGCUGCAGCAGGAUAUAUUCAUCAGGAAACAAGGUGCAUGUUCAGUUAUGCUAUCAUGGAUUGUGGGAUUAUGUACCUAGCAAGAAUAUUCUAUACCAGCUGCUAAGUAUUAAUACUGCAGUCAGAGUGAACUAGCACUGUUUUACUUCAUUCCCAAGUAUUGGAAAUUUCCUGAUGUAAUUUGCUUAUGUAAAGUCUGAGAAGUCUUUAGGAUCAAGUCCUUAUUAAAAGCAAGUCCUUGUUGAAAUAUCAGAUCACCUCUCUUUAAAAAAUAUAUAUAUAUAACUAGAUAUAUGCCCUGGAACAGACUUGUUUAGCAAGUAAACAUACUAAUUUUUACUUUAAGUUAAUACCAAACUGCAAGGAAACUUCCAGCUAUGCUGUAUACUUGUGGGAGGUGAAGAUCUUAGAUAAUUUCACAGAUGUCACUUUAAAAGGAAGAGACAGAAUUAGUAAUAUGUGUGUUGUGCAGAGAACUGCAAUCCAGCAUUAGUAAUCUAUUCCUGUCAUUCUCAAAUAGAAGGGAAAGUAGGUUAGUAGAUGGACAGGAUGUCUCCACACAGCAACCACAAAAUAAGUGCCAUGCCUGAAUGAUGGAGAUAUUCUUCAUAUGCAUAAAAUGCAAUAUAUCCGCAACCCGUUGAUUUUUUGUAAGUAAUCAAAGUCAUUGUUAUCCCUGAUAUAUAUAAAAAUAUAUAUAAAAUAUAUUUACCAGUUGCAUUGGUAAAUUAAAA